GCAAGACCUCGCGCGAUUGGAGCGGCCGAUAUCAGAUUAGGUAGUUGGUGAGGUAAAGGCUCACCAAGCCGACGAUCUGUAGCUGGUCUGAGAGGACGACCAGCCACACUGGGACUGAGACACGGCCCAGACUCCUACGGGAGGCAGCAGUGGGGAAUUUUGGACAAUGGGCGCAAGCCUGAUCCAGCCAUGCCGCGUGCGGGAAGAAGGCCUUCGGGUUGUAAACCGCUUUUGUCAGGGAAGAAAAGGUUCUGGCUAAUACCUGGGACUCAUGACGGUACUUGAAGAAUAAACACCGGCUAACUACGUGCCAGCAGCCGCGGUAAUACGUAGGGUGCAAGCGUUAAUCGGAAUUACUGGGCGUAAAGCGUGCGCAGGCGGUUAUGCAAGACAGAGGUGAAAUCCCCGGGCUCAACCUGGGAACUGCCUUUGUGACUGCAUGGCUAGAGUACGGUAGAGGGGGAUGGAAUUCCGCGUGUAGCAGUGAAAUGCGUAGAUAUGCGGAGGAACACCGAUGGCGAAGGCAAUCCCCUGGACCUGUACUGACGCUCAUGCACGAAAGCGUGGGGAGCAAACAG
Molecule: ribosomal RNA, 578 nt
Filed under: uncultured Roseateles sp.
Lineage: Bacteria; Pseudomonadati; Pseudomonadota; Betaproteobacteria; Burkholderiales; Sphaerotilaceae
Description: bacterial SSU rRNA
Rfam family: Bacterial small subunit ribosomal RNA
Source: RNAcentral